UGGGGAAUAUUGCACAAUGGGCGAAAGCCUGAUGCAGCAACGCCGCGUGAGUGAUGAAGGCCUUCGGGUUGUAAAGCUCUGUCUUUUGGGACGAUAAUGACGGUACCAAAGGAGGAAGCCACGGCUAACUACGUGCCAGCAGCCGCGGUAAUACGUAGGUGGCAAGCGUUGUCCGGAUUUACUGGGCGUAAAGGAUGCGUAGGCGGAUUUUUAAGUGAGAUGUGAAAUACCCGGGCUUAACUUGGGUGCUGCAUUUCAAACUGGGAAUCUAGAGUGCGGGAGAGGAGAAUGGAAUUCCUAGUGUAGCGGUGAAAUGCGUAGAGAUUAGGAAGAACACCAGUGGCGAAGGCGAUUCUCUGGACCGUAACUGACGCUGAGGCAUGAAAGCGUGGGUAGCAAACAGGAUUAGAUACCCUGGUAGUCCACGCCGUAAACGAUGAGUACUAGGUGUAGGAGGUAUCGACCCCUUCUGUGCCGCAGUUAACACAAUAAGUACUCCGCCUGGGAAGUACGAUCGCAAGGUUAAAACUUAAAGGAAUUGACGGGGUCAUAGCUGUUUCC
RNAcentral lists this ribosomal RNA (561 nucleotides) under uncultured bacterium. Its description in RNAcentral is "partial 16S ribosomal RNA". It matches the Rfam family "Bacterial small subunit ribosomal RNA", at positions 355 to 937 of the family's 1533-position model. The record is from RNAcentral.